Molecule: ribosomal RNA, 408 nt
Filed under: uncultured bacterium
Lineage: Bacteria
Description: partial 16S ribosomal RNA
Rfam family: Bacterial small subunit ribosomal RNA
Source: RNAcentral
GACGAACGCUGGCGGCGUGCUUAACACAUGCAAGUCGAACGAAGUGGUGAACGGGUGAGUAACGCGUAAUCAACCUGCCCUUCAGAGGGGGAUAACAGUUGGAAACGACUGCUAAUACCGCAUACUGAAGUAGGGGAUUGCGGCUGAUUAGCUAGUUGGAGGGGUAACGGCCCACCAAGGCGAUGAUCAGUAGCGGGUCUGAGAGGAGGACCGGCCACAUUGGCACUGAGACACGGCCCAGACUCCUACGGCAGGAAGCAGUGGGGAAUCUACCGAAAUGGACGAAAGUCUGACGUAGCAACGCCGCGUGAGUGAUGACGGCCUUAGGGUUGUAAAGCUCUGUUAAUCGGGACGCGGUACCGGAAUAGAAAGCCACGACUAACUACGUGCGAGCAGCCGCGCUAAUUC